AACGAGUUUAUUUUUAAGCUUUAAGCUUGUCUAGAUUCGUAUUUUUAACAAAUUGAUAUCAGUUAACUCAUUCAUACACUAGUACACAAAGCUUUUGUUGGUGCGAUGCACUUUAUUUUGGUGAUGCGGUUCUCUAAAACACCGCACCUUUAUAUUUAUCGUUCACAAAUUCCCCCAACUUUAUAUCUUAUAUUUACAUUUUCCCUCCCUUAUGUUUCAUAUUCCCCUCAAAAUUUUCAUUUUCCCUCUAUUCCCGCUUGUUUAUUUCCCUCCCUCACGAAUUUCUCACCCUCACAAACCCUAAUCGAACCCCAAGUCUCUCUGUCGCAUCCAUCUCGUUCCUUUUGACACCACUCACUACCGAUACCUUCCAGUGAACCGACCCCAUCCCUGCCCUGCAUUGCACCGUCCCAUCCCUGCCCUACAUUGCACCGUCGUUGCGGUCUAGUGCACCGUGUCUCUCCUGUUCGUUACAGCCACUGUGUGCAAUUUUCCACUAAAUUCAUAUGAAUAUGUUGUGUCUAAAUCUCUGUUUUUAUUCGCUCGUUAUGAUGUUUAGAAUAUGUGCAUACCAAGUGUUUGAUGAAAUGUUUGUGUUAGUUUUCCCCUCUAAUUUUAUUCACAUUUGUCUAAGUGCCUUGGUUUCAAUUAUUCUUGGUUGUGUGUAGGUUGAGUUGGACAUGGUGAAGAUUCUUCCUACUUACAAAGGAUAAAAAAACAUGUUGGAACCGUUGAAUGCACUUCAGUGCUCUAAAUUGCAGGUGCACUUGCCAGCACUAAUAAUCGAACUCAGGUAAUUUAAUUUAUGUUUCAAUAUUUCAGCGUCACUUGAUUUGGUUAACUUAAAUUGGUUUACAAUAGGCAAUUCUAGCUAGUUUUGAAGCGCUCGAAAAUGACAAUCCUGGAUCCAAAGUGACUUACCAAUAUGAAACUGAAAGCUGAAAGUUAUGGCUUACCCCUUUGAAAUUCCCUUUUUUUUAUUCUGUCUAAGUUUAUAUUUUCAACUCAUACAUGUUUUUCUUAUACCAAAGAUGCGUUGUGCAAGAUUUAAAAGAAUGGAAUUGAACCCCGAGGUGUUUUCCUUUCGCCUCGUGAGGCGUAGGACUCGAGGAGAACUAAGGCAUAAGACUAGGAGGCACACCUCAUACACAUUUUCUUAUCAUCUCGCUUCGAGGCGCACGUCUCAACGGUUUUUUUAAACCAUGGCGUUGUGAUGUCUUCUUGCAAUCAGAUUGCUCAUAUGUGGUGGUGUUUUCUUGUUGUUUCUGUUUCUUAUGGUCUUAUCCUAAUAUAUGCAGUUUUUCAUGAGAAGCAUUUCAAAGGUACCAAACUUAAAACUUGGCCAAAGCACUUGAGAUCGCAAAGAAAGCCCCGCGAACGUUCUUCGAGCUCUUGCAUGAGGCGGUUUCUACGGAUCGGAAUGCUAGGAUUGAAGAAGUCGAUUCGGGUUGUAAGGCAUACGAAGUUGCCUGUAUGAUUUUUUAGGUUGCAAACUUUUUUGAGCUAUUUCACAAAGUGUAUACGUUUUGUGUUUCAUACGGGAACCAUGUAGUUUUUGGAAACGUGUUUAAUAUGUUAGAAAUUUUUGUUUGUUA
Helianthus annuus (common sunflower) is the source of this 1595-nucleotide long non-coding RNA. RefSeq lists it as uncharacterized. Lineage: Eukaryota; Viridiplantae; Streptophyta; Magnoliopsida; Asterales; Asteraceae. The record is from RefSeq and is a predicted model, not a curated record. The transcript has 3 exons.